ACGGGAGGCAGCAGUGGGGGAUAUUGCACAAUGGAGGAAACUCUGAUGCAGCAACGCCGCGUGAAGGAAGAAGGCCUUCGGGUUGUAAACUUCUGUCCUUGGUGACGAUAAUGACGGUAGCCAAGGAGGAAGCCACGGCUAACUACGUGCCAGCAGCCGCGGUAAUACGUAGGUGGCAAGCGUUGUCCGGAAUUACUGGGUGUAAAGGGUGCGUAGGCGGCUCAUAAAGUCAGAUGUGAAAUACCGGGGCUUAACUCCGGAGCUGCAUUUGAAACUUAUGGGCUUGAGUGAAGUAGAGGUAAGCGGAAUUCCUAGUGUAGCGGUGAAAUGCGUAGAUAUUAGGAGGAACACCAGUGGCGAAGGCGGCUUACUGGACGAUAACUGACGUUGAGGCUCGAAAGCGUGGGGAGCAAACAGGAUUAGAUACCCUGGUA
Molecule: ribosomal RNA, 434 nt
Filed under: uncultured Clostridium sp.
Lineage: Bacteria; Bacillati; Bacillota; Clostridia; Eubacteriales; Clostridiaceae
Description: partial 16S ribosomal RNA
Rfam family: Bacterial small subunit ribosomal RNA
Source: RNAcentral